This 466-nucleotide ribosomal RNA is filed under the name uncultured bacterium. Its description in RNAcentral is "bacterial SSU rRNA". It matches the Rfam family "Bacterial small subunit ribosomal RNA", at positions 917 to 1382 of the family's 1533-position model. The record is from RNAcentral.
GGGCCCGCACAAGCGGCGGAGCAUGCGGAUUAAUUCGAUGCAACGCGAAGAACCUUACCUGGGCUUGACAUGUUCCCGACGACGGCGGAGAUGUCGUUUCCCUUCGGGGCGGGUUCACAGGUGGUGCAUGGUCGUCGUCAGCUCGUGUCGUGAGAUGUUGGGUCAAGUCCCGCAACGAGCGCAACCCUCGCCCCGUGUUGCCAGCGCGUCAUGGCGGGAACUCACGGGGGACCGCCGGGGUUAACCCGGAGGAAGGUGGGGAUGACGUCAGAUCAUCAUGCCCCUUACGUCCAGGGCUUCACGCAUGCUACAAUGGCCGGUACAGCGGGAUGCGACAUGGUGACAUGGAGCGGAUCCCUGAAAACCGGUCUCAGUUCGGAUCGGAGCCUGCAACCCGGCUCCGUGAAGGCGGAGUCGCUAGUAAUCGCGGAUCAGCAACGCCGCGGUGAAUGCGUUCCCGGGCCUU